This is a long non-coding RNA of Taeniopygia guttata (zebra finch), 1755 nucleotides long. The record is from Ensembl. NCBI's taxonomy places the organism in Eukaryota, Metazoa, Chordata, Aves, Passeriformes, Estrildidae.
UUAAAUGCAGUCUGCUAGAUUUAAUAUAUUUACCUGAAAAAUAUCUCAAUAUAAAUGACACACUUUUGUUGUAAUUCUGUUUUAAGACUACUGGAUAAAUUGAUUAUUAUUUAAAAUCAGCUUUAUUUCUAACAUAAGGGUGAUUCUAGGUCAGGGCAAAGGCUACUGAUUCAUCAAGCUUAGUAACCAUUUUCCAAAAGAUCACCCAGAGUAAAAAGGGAACAAUACAGCACAUAAUGAGACUUCAUCAAAUAAUCUAACCUCCAAAAAUUUGCAACAUUUGGAAUUCCUUAGCUAGAGAUAAUGUCUUUUUUUAUUCUAUAGGUAUUGGUAUUCCUUCUCUAAAUUGUCCACUACUCUGAAGGCACAUAACAUGUGUAGAGUGAAUUUGUGAAGUUUCUUGAAAAAGAUAUUACAGAUGUUAAAACAAGAUGAAGAAUCAAGCCUUCUUACCUGCUUAGAAAAAGGUAUUACAGAUAAAAAAGACACUGUAGAUGCCAAAACAAGAUGAAGAACCAAGCUUUCUUGCUUGCUUUGAAUGAAGUUCCUGUUAGCUUCAAUUGGUGCUCAACAUUUUUUUAUUGGGAAUGAGACUAAACAAGAAAUCCUUAAUGCACAACCUUCAUACUCUUUGGGGUUCUUUAGAAUUCUGGUUUGCCUAAUUAUAAUUCCUAUUGUAACAUCAUGAUUUAGAUCAUAAUUUUCACCUUUCUUUGCAUUUUUUUCCAGUUUAAUUAUAGCAUUUUUAAGAGGAAUGGAUAACAAUCAUUAAGAACAAAAUUCAUGUUCCUAUUUCAAUGAAAGACCUUGUUCCCAGGUAAAGAUGGGCAGCUCAAAAUCCAACAUGGUGUGGGCAGAGUUAGGCAUGUUUUUGUGUACAUAACAAUACAAUUUGGAUAAUACUGUAUCCAGUUACAUUUGCCACCUCAACCUUCAAACACUGUCUCAAGGUCUUCUUGUAAAGAUAAUCAAAGAUGGUCUGUGAGUGCUAGCAUUGCUAGUCACCUUGAAAUAAGAAAACUUUUUUGUGUGGUAACAAAUGAAUUUCAAAAAUUAGUAAGUAAAACACAGUGUUUCUUGUGGGAUUUCCAGAAUAGUACCCUCUGACUUUGCUGAAUAAUCAACUUAUUCUAAAGUAAUCCCAUACUCACUCACAUUUCACCCUGUCACUAGUUCUGUUGGGCUUCACUCCAGUGUCAAAGCUUUUGACAUUCUGCCCAAAACACUGUCACUUAUCUACACACACAUGUACCUUCGUAUCCCUUCCUCUCCUUCUUCUUUCAUUUAAGGCGGCAAAAAUUUCCAUAAGCACUUUUAUUGCUUUAAUUUUAGUUCACACUCAAGGAUUUGGUUUUGUUUGUAUCAUUCCUCAUAUACACUCUAUCUUCCUGUUCUCUUUCAUAAUACUACCUUACAUAAAAGUUUCAUUUGUCAGUUUACUUAUCUGCAUGUUAAAUACUUCACAAACUUUUAUUUAAAGACACCUAUGUUUUGCUAUUUAUAUUUGUUUUACAAAUCUUAAAGAAUGAGACAUUUAAGCCUUUAAAAAAAUCUCUUCCUUUAUAUUGUUUUUACUAUGUUUUUAUAAUAUUAAUACAGUGAAUUGAAAUGGAACAGGUACCACCAGACUUAUCUCUCACCUGAUGCAGUGGGAGUUGUGUCUCUUUACUGCAAAAAAUAGAUAGAAUGACUCAGAUCAAUGUCCAAGCCAGGCUUGUAGAGUCUGGGUGCCAAAUUGAAAAAAAAAAAAAAAAA